UAGUACCUACCUACUUAUAUAAAGGCAUCUUUGACGAGGUGCACGUCAUAAAAAUAACUAUUUAAGUGUGUAUUUCCUGGCUAACAGUUAUAAUCAUCGUGUUACAAAUUUUUAUUUCGCAUAUCUCAUUACCUUGCAUAACAUCAUGUCACAGUUUCAAAUUUCGUAAUUGAUAUAUUGCGUCACGAUAAUACAACGUGCGCACAACUAAUAUAACGCAUAGCGCUAAGCCUAGUGGCGCACUGAAACUAUUAGCCAUAUCUAUCCGACAAUAUUGUAAGAGCCUGAUUAGAAUUUGUAAUUAUCGAGAUACGGAGUUCAUUUUCUUUGUAGAAUAAAUUCGAAUCGAUGUUCACUUGGCUGGGAAAUUCUUUCCAAAAGUCAAUCGACUAUAACACGUGGUAGUUACAAUAAGAACGUAAAGUUUUUCAACUUCGAGUCAGCAGUGUUGAUCUUAACACGAAUUGCAGAGCUAGUAGUCUUGCGGAGCUCGGUUGGACAAUCUAUAGGAUCUUCGACCCAACUGGAUCUUGUGGUAAAACCGUUUUAAAAAGAUCAUGAUUUUGAUCCUAGAAAAUUCUCUGUACUUCGAAGUUAUCAAUGUCUACUAGAAGUAAUUUAUACAUAAGAACGAGUAAUGAAAGAAUUAGUAUGAAACGUGCUGAUAACUCCAGAAACAGUACCUCUGGUGCGAAAACCUUUCGCCAAGUACGUUGAAAAUGUGUCCUCAUUCUUUAUCGAAUGAGAAUCAACUCACAUACCAUUGCCAAGUACAUGUCUGUUGAAUCACAAUGAGAGCAUGUUCGAAACUUGACACGUGGUUUCCACAUCUCUCUGAAAUCACACUGGGGUCAGACUAACCCUAAGCGUAUCCAACAAAAAAUAAUAAGAGAAUGAAAAUGAGAAAGAAUAUAACUCAGGAAUUAUAAAAGUCCAGAAAUCAGACAUGUCCUUGGCUGUAGUAUGCAGUUUGAUUCUUUUUUAUAUAGGAUGGUGACACAUUUUCAACGCACUUGGCGAAUUGUUUUCGCCCCAGAGCUGCUUUUGGGGGAAAUCAUCGUUAGUAUAUUGUCGUAGUAUAACAAACUAUAAUGAUACUAUUCUAAACCUAAUAUAAGUAGUUGGUAUACACUCACACCUAAACACUUGUACAAAAUAUUGGGCAUAUUGAAUAAACUAUGACUUGGACAUUGUG
Molecule: long non-coding RNA, 1195 nt
Organism: Neodiprion fabricii
Lineage: Eukaryota; Metazoa; Arthropoda; Insecta; Hymenoptera; Diprionidae
Exons: 3
Source: RefSeq, a predicted model, not a curated record